GCCGGGCUAGCUCAAUUGGUAGAGCAGUUGACUCUUAAUCAAUUGGUUCGGGGUUCGAGUCCCCGGCCCGGUACCA
This 76-nucleotide transfer RNA is filed under the name Opitutia bacterium UBA7438. RNAcentral describes it as "Opitutae bacterium UBA7438 tRNA-Lys(ctt)". It matches the Rfam family "tRNA". Rfam says of the family: Transfer RNA (tRNA) molecules are approximately 80 nucleotides in length. Their secondary structure includes four short double-helical elements and three loops (D, anti-codon, and T loops). Further hydrogen bonds mediate the characteristic L-shaped molecular structure. tRNAs have two regions of fundamental functional importance: the anti-codon, which is responsible for specific mRNA codon recognition, and the 3' end, to which the tRNAs corresponding amino acid is attached (by aminoacyl-tRNA synthetases). tRNAs cope with the degeneracy of the genetic code in two manners: having more than one tRNA (with a specific anti-codon) for a particular amino acid; and 'wobble' base-pairing, i.e. permitting non-standard base-pairing at the 3rd anti-codon position. The record is from RNAcentral. Lineage: Bacteria; Pseudomonadati; Verrucomicrobiota; Opitutia. RNAcentral also lists the same sequence under 6 other names.